This 342-nucleotide ribosomal RNA is filed under the name uncultured Bacillota bacterium. Its description in RNAcentral is "bacterial SSU rRNA". It matches the Rfam family "Bacterial small subunit ribosomal RNA", at positions 28 to 351 of the family's 1533-position model. The record is from RNAcentral. Lineage: Bacteria; Bacillati; Bacillota.
GAUGAACGCUGGCGGCGUGCUUAACACAUGCAAGUCGAACGGAGUGCUAAUGAACGAGUUUUCGGACAAGGGAUUUAGUUACUUAGUGGCGGACGGGUGAGUAACGCGUGAGUAACCUGCCUUGGAGUGGGGAAUAACACAUGGAAACGUGUGCUAAUACCGCAUAAAGCAUUUUGGUCGCAUGGCCAUGAAUGCCAAAAGAUUUAUCGCUCUGAGAUGGACUCGCGUCUGAUUAGCUAGUUGGUGGGUAAAGGCCUACCAAGGCGACGAUCAGUAGCCGGACUGAGAGGUUGACCGGCCACAUUGGGACUGAGACACGGCCCAGACUCCUACGGGAGGCAG